This is a long non-coding RNA of Neofelis nebulosa (Clouded leopard), 3372 nucleotides long. RefSeq lists it as uncharacterized. The transcript is spliced from 2 exons. The record is from RefSeq and is a predicted model, not a curated record. NCBI's taxonomy places the organism in Eukaryota, Metazoa, Chordata, Mammalia, Carnivora, Felidae.
UCAUAAUUCUAAAUUACUUAUUUUCACAUUUAUAUAAAUGUUUCCAUAAACCAAGAAAAACUGAGCUAAUAAGUAUUAUACAUUUAAUGGUUAAUAUGCUUCAAAGAGUUUUUCUUAAAAAGUGAACAGGAGUUGGUUGAAAUUGUUCCCACAGAUAUAAAGUAUCUGUUAGUAUUUUUAUUCAUAACAAAUUCAUAUCUAAGCUUUCUGAAAAGCUGUAUUACCUAAUACCAUAAGAAGGAUGACUAAGUACUUGACAGCCCCCCUCUUAAGCACUGGCUUAACAUAAAGAAAUUAUUUUAAGAAACAGCCUCCCCUGCACUAUCCUCACCCCUGUUUUAUUUACAGUACAGAGACUAAUAUUUUUGCAAAGCAUUCAUUUAAUCAUGAAAUGUAGACAGAUGCAAUGGUAUCAAGGAAAAGAGCGUUUAGUACCUUUUCACUUUAUUAAAGGUUUUGACAAUGAGAGCCUUAUAAAAUGUCAUGAAAUUCAGUUUGCUAUACAAUAAACAUCUGUUAAGUAGGAGACAUAUCCCAUAUUAUAAAACCAUUUUAAUGAUUAAAAUAAUUCUGAAUUCUUACUAUAAAAAUAUUUGGCUAAAAUAUGAAACAUCUUUGUAAUAAAACUGACAAUGUGCUUAAGUAAGAUUUCAGAAAUGUCUCCUGGAAAAAAUGAGAAUGUUUCCUUUUGCCAGAUAAACUCUGAAAAGUUUAGGUGCCAUAAACAAGACAAAACUAGUAAGGAAUAUCCUGUUACUAGAAAAGAACAGCAUGUAAUGUGGACUUCCUCCAUGUCAAAGUGACAACCACUUAAUGACAGUGACUAAUUAUACAUAAAAAAAAUAGAAUAUAAAAGAUAAUAUGUGUUGUUCUAAGCCAUUAAGUUGUGGUAAUUUGUUACAGCAACCAUUGAAAACUGAUACGACCACAGAGUUUUUUUAACAAAAAUUUUUGUUUGUAUUUAUGUGUGUUUGUAUGUAUGUUUAUUUUUGAGAGAGAGGAGAGCAUGAGCAGGGAAGGUGUAGAGAGAGGGAGACACAGAAUCCAAAGCAGGCUCUAGGCUCUGAGAUGUCAGCACAGAGCCCAUUGCCGGGCUUGAACUCACAAACUGUGAGAUCAUGACCUGAGCCAAAGUUGGACACGUGACCAACUGAGCCACCCAGGCACUCCGAUUUUUUGUUUUUAAAUAUUUUGACUCAGAACAGUUGCAGUAAACUGGUGCAGAAAAGCCUCAUGUAUACAUCAUUCAUAUUUCCCCCAAAUAAUAUUUUAUGUAAUUAUAGUACAUUAUAACAACCAGGAAAUUGAUUUGGGCACCAUACUAUUAAUUCAGGGAAGGAGUGACACUUCUCUGAGUAGACUUUUUAUAUAGGUUCCACUUUUGGAAGUAUAUGUAGGUCUUACAUAUUCAGAACAUAAUACUACAUCAGUCAUGAUGGAAGAAACAAAAAAAUAUAUAUUAAAAUUGAAAGCGUAUGGAAACAAACUCCACUGUCUUUCAAAUGAAGAACCUAGCCACACUGAAAAAAACUAAUUAAAGUAACUUGCAUACGCAGUAUUUGAUUAACUUCAGUUUUGGACAGGUUUGAGGAGAGAAUUACAUACAAAUCAUGAGCUCCUUUUUAGUUGGUGUGGUGUUUUGAGUUAGAAUGGCUGAGGAAAUUUUGCAACUACUUUAUAUGUAAUAUAAGAUUUAGCAAAUGGAUAAAUAUGUGUAUGUUAUUACUCUCCAGGGUUCUCACUGGUGGAAGGCACACACAAAUAUGUGUUGGAGUCAGUGGGGAGACCCUGUAGAAAUGGAUUGGAAUUAAAAGUAAUGGUGUGGACCCAGGAUUUCUCGUGUAUAUGUGUCUGUCUAUAUGCAUGUAUAUAUGUUUAUAUAUUUGUGCAUAUAUAUGUGUGUACAUGGAUAUAUUUCUUAUGUUUGUCUACUGAAGUGACUCAGGAACAAAAACUCCCAGUAAAAAUGAUCUAACAUUACCCUAAUACUCAGAAUCUUGGUCCUUCUUUUUUUUCAAUGUUCCUGUUUAAAUUCCAGUUAGUUAACAUACAGUGUAAUAUUAAUUUCAGAUGUACAGUAUAGUGAUUCAACUCUUCUAUACAAUACCCGGUGCUCAUCACAAGUACACUCCUUAAUCCCCAUCACAUAUUUCAUCCAGCUCUCUACCCACUUGCCCUCUGGUAACCACCAGUUUGUUCUCUGUAGUUAAGAGUGUUUCUUGGUUUGCUUCCCUCUAUCUUUUUUUCCCUUUGUGCAUUUGUUCGUAAAUUCUACAUAUGAAUGAAAUUAUAUCUUUCUGUCCUUCUCUGACUUAUUUCACUUAGCAUAAUACUCUCUAGCUCCAUCCAUGUUGUUGCAAACAGCAAGAUUUCAUUCUUUUUUAUGACUGAGUAAUAUUCCUGUGUGUGUGUGUGUGUGUGUGUGUGUGUGUGUGUGUGUGUGUGUGUGUGAUAUGCACACCACAUCUUCUUUAUCCAUUUAUCAGUGUAUAUUUGGGCUUUCCCCAUAAUUGGGCUAUUAUAGAUAAUGCUACUAUCAACAUCAGGGUGCAUAUAUCCCUUGAAUUAGUAUUUUUGUAUCCUUUGGGUAAAUACCUAGUAAUAUAAUUGCUGAUAGUUCUAUUUUUAACUUUUUAAGGAACCUCCAUACUGUUUUUCCAGAGUUACUGCACCGGUUUGCACCCUAGUGCAAGAGGGUUCCCUUUUCUCCACAUCCUUGCCAACACCUGUUGUUUCUUAUGUUAAUUUUAGCCAUUCUGACUGGUGUGGAGUGAUACCUCAUUGUAGUUUUGAUUUGUGUUUUCCUGAUGAUGAGUGAUGUUGAGCAUCUUUUCAUGUGUCUGUUGGCCAUCUGGAUGUCUUCUUUCAAAAAAAUAUCUGUGUGUCUUCUUUUUUUUUAACUUUAUUUUCUAAAAUUUACAUCCAAAUUAGUUAGCAUAUAGUGAAACAAUGAUUUCAGGAGUAGAUUCCUUAAUGACCUUUACCCAUUGAGCCUAUCCCCCCCUAAAACCCCUCCAGUAACCCUCAGUUUGUUCUCCAUAUUUAUGAGUCUCUUCUGUUUUGUCCCCCUUACUGUUUUUAUGUUAUUUUUGUUUCCCUUCCCUUAUGUUCAUCUGUUUUGUCUCUUAAAGUCCUCAUAUGACUGGGGCGCCUGGGUGGCUCAGUUGGUUGGGCGUCCGACUUCAGCUCAGGUCACGAUCUCGCGGUCCGUGAGUUCGAGCUCUGCAUCAGGCUCUGGGCUGAUGGCUCAGAGCCUGGAGCCUGCUUCCGAUUCUGUGUCUCCCUCUGUCUCUGCCCCUCCCCCGUUCAUGCUCUGUCUCUCUCUGUCUAAAAAAUAAAUAAAACGUUAAAAAAAAAAUUUAAAAAAAAAAA